Molecule: long non-coding RNA, 536 nt
Filed under: Homo sapiens (human)
Lineage: Eukaryota; Metazoa; Chordata; Mammalia; Primates; Hominidae
Description: non-protein coding FOXD3-AS1:20
Source: RNAcentral
AACAAAGGGACGAGAGACGCGCAACUCCGCUCCGCACUGUGCGCCAGCAUCCCCGGGGCACGGAGGGCGCUGCGGCCCGCCCGGAGACCCCCCCACCCAGGCUGGAUCCGGGCCCUGGGGCCCAGGGAGCGGGUGUGGACAAAUCCUCCAAGAUUUAACUUCCAAGAAAACCGGCGGCGGAGCGGGUGGAGGAGGCGAGGAUGUGUGGCCAAUGCACGCGGAGUGCAAGGCCGCCUAGUUGGGAGCCGCAAGAGCCUGCCUGGUGUGGCAGGCACACGGAACCCAAUCCCUGUCUGUCCGCUGCGGCCUGGGAGGGGAGCGCCGGCCUCACCAGAGGAAGGAGCACGAGGGGAGGAGUUCCGAGAGGAAAUAAUUAGUGAAAUAUUUGCAGAAGAUGCUGGGAUGUGGAUUUAAUUCCGGAUGGACAGUGGUGCUUCUGAUUCCCUCAGUCUGUUUCCCCACCCACGAUCUCCUCUUUCCUUGGCCUAGACACACCAAAAAUAAUUCAAUAAAAUAAAAAUAAAAAUUUAAAAAUC